Molecule: ribosomal RNA, 224 nt
Filed under: uncultured bacterium
Lineage: Bacteria
Description: partial 16S ribosomal RNA
Rfam family: Bacterial small subunit ribosomal RNA
Source: RNAcentral
AGUAACACGUACGUGACCUGUCCAGAAGUGGGGAAUAACCAGCCGAAAGGUUGGCUAAUACCGCAUGUGGUCACCCCUUGGAAGGGGAUGACGAAAGCCGAAAGGCGCUUCUGGAGGGGCGUGCGGCCGAUUAGCUAGUUGGUGUGGUAACGGCGCACCAAGGCGAUGAUCGGUAGCUGGUCUGAGAGGAUGGUCAGCCACACUGGGACUGAGACACGGCCCAG